GAGCGGUAGAGAGAAGCUUGCUUCUCUUGAGAGCGGCGGACGGGUGAGUAAUGCCUAGAAUCUGCCUGGUAGUGGGGGAUAACGUUCGGAAACGGACGCUAAUACCGCAUACGUCCUACGUGGAGAAAGCAGGGGACCUUAGUGGCCUUGCGCUAUCAGAUGAGCCUAGGUCGGAUUAGCUAGUUGGUGAGGUAAUGGCUCACCAAGGCGACGAUCCGUAACUGGUCUGAGAGGAUGAUCAGUCACACUGGAACUGAGACACGGUCCAGACUCCUACGGGAGGCAGCAGUGGGGAAUAUUGGACAAUGGGCGAAAGCCUGAUCCAGCCAUGCCGCGUGUGUGAAUGAAGGUCUUCGGAUUGUAAAGCACUUUAAGUUGGGAGGAAGGGCAGUUACCUAAUACGUGAUUGUUUUGACGUUACCGACAGAAUAAGCACCGGCUAACUCUGUGCCAGCAGCCGCGGUAAUACAGAGGGUGCAAGCGUUAAUCGGAAUUACUGGGCGUAAAGCGCGCGUAGGUGGUUAGUUAAGUUGGAUGUGAAAUCCCCGGGCUCAACCUGGGAACUGCAUUCAAAACUGACUGACUAGAGUAUGGUAGAGGGCUGGCUGGCAAUUUCCUGUGUAGCGGUGAAAUGCGUACAUAUAGGAAGGAACACCAGUGNGCCAAGGCAGACCACCUGGACUA
RNAcentral lists this ribosomal RNA (684 nucleotides) under uncultured bacterium. RNAcentral's name for it is "bacterial SSU rRNA". It matches the Rfam family "Bacterial small subunit ribosomal RNA", at positions 64 to 736 of the family's 1533-position model. The record is from RNAcentral.